This 124-nucleotide small nuclear RNA is filed under the name Tupaia belangeri chinensis (Chinese tree shrew). RNAcentral describes it as "Tupaia chinensis (Chinese tree shrew) U4 spliceosomal RNA". It matches the Rfam family "U4 spliceosomal RNA". From Rfam's summary of the family: U4 small nuclear RNA (U4 snRNA) is a component of the major U2-dependent spliceosome. The structure of U4 snRNA from yeast and human has been reported. U4 snRNA presents a k-turn RNA motif in the 5p-SL related to recognition of Snu13 protein. The record is from Rfam by way of RNAcentral. Lineage: Eukaryota; Metazoa; Chordata; Mammalia; Scandentia; Tupaiidae.
AGCUUUGCGCAGUGGCAGUAUCGUAGCCAAUGAGGUUUAUCCGAGGCACGAUUAUUGCUAAUAAUAUUCUUUGCUUCUCCCAAAAGCCACAAUAUUUUAUUUAUUUUCACUAUCUUGCUAAGGA